GCCGCGCGCCGCGCGCCGUCGAGGUCCCCGCGUCGCCGCCCUCUGCCUUUCGUAACUCGGCGCGGGGUCUGGGUUUGCAGGGCUUUGAAAACGAGCCCCCGGCGCCUUGCGCCCUCUCUUCCGGCGCUCUGGCCGCAGAUUCGGGUAGCGCCGGCCACCGUGGACCAUUUUUCUUUUUUUCCUGCUUCGCGGCGUUCCAGGAUUUUCUCUUCCGGGUCGCUCUGAGGCACGGUCAGGGGUGCCAGCAUUCCCGGUUUGGCAUUGAACCCUCGGACUCUGCAAACACCAUUGAGGGGAAGCCCCCUUUUGCGCGUGCGCCGCGCCUCCUGAGGCCGGGAGCUAAGUCGGGCUGGCAGGGCCAGGUGGCACAUAAGCUCUGCCUCUGGGUUUCUAUUUGGCGUCAUCCGUGUGCAGAGGCGGCUGAGAUUUCGGCAACACAACAGCCUGGCCUUGACUGCAGCUCCAUCCCCAGCUCGAAUGGAGCUCUUACCCACCCCGACCCCAGCUACAGCAUCCGGUGGAUGGGAGGGGCUGGAAUCAUGCAAACUUGUGCAAGAAAACCAUCAUACAUCACAGCGCGUGUCCUCAUCUUUCAACAAACAUGUAAUAAACACAUCAACCUGUUUUGCCACUGAAACUCAAGAGCUCAGAACUGUCAACUACUGUGAAAUCUUCUACAGUCAAGAAUGGGACUCUGCUUUACUCUCUGAUUUUAAGUUAAGAACCACAUGCUUGGAAGCUAAGUAUGAUCACCUCACAGCUAGGGAAAACUCAGAACUUCAUGCUCAUUUCUUCUUUGAUUCUUUUUUCUUUCUUUUAUUUAUUUAUUUAUUUUUUGGUCUUUUUGCCAUUUCUAGGGCCGCUCCCGUGGCAUACAGAGGUUCCCAGGCUAGGGGUCUCGAAUUGGAGCUGUAGCCACCGGCCUAUGCCAGAGCCAUGCAACGCAGGAUCCAGAGCCACGUCUGCAACCUACACCACAGCUCAUGGCAACGCCAGAUCCUUAACCCACUGAGCAAGGCCAGGGAUCAAACCUGCAACCUUAUGGUUCCUAAUCAGAUUCAUUAACCAUUGAGCCACGACGGGAAGUCCUGAUCCUUUUUUCUUAUAUUGACUGUCCUUCUGGAAUUAUUUUCCUUUCUCUGAAGUACUCCCUUAUAAUUUCCUUUAGGACAAGAUUUUUGACAGUAGACUCUCGGUUAUUGUUUAUUUCUAAAUGAUUUUACUACUUCAUGAAGGUGGUUUUUCUGGUUAAAAAAGUUUACAUUGACAAUUACUUUAUCUUCACACCUUGAAGAUAUUAUUCCACUGCCUUCUGGAUUCUGUUUUUGAGGUGGAAAAAUCUGCUGUCAUUUUUAUUGUCAUUCCUUGUUAGGUGAUCCAUCCUUUCUUUCUGGCUGCUUUAUCAACCUUACCUUUGUAUUUGUUGUUUUUCAACUUUAUUAUAAUGUCUAGCAUGAAUUUGUUUUUCUUUUUCCUACUCGGAAUAUCUUGGACUUCCUAGAUCUGUAGAAUUCAUAUUAUCUAUUAGCUAUAAUACAUUCCAAGACAUAAUAUUUUAAAACAAUGUCUAUCCUUAUUUUUUCAAUUCUAUCUUUGUGGGAAACUGAUAAAUGCAUGAUAAACCUAUCAUGUAUGGUCCAUAUCUUGUAACCUCUCUUUUAUAUUUCUCAUCUUUCUAUGUAAUGUGGCAAUUUUUUUGCAUAUAUCUUAUGUUUCAUUGAUUGUUUUUUCAGUUAUACCUAAUCUGGUUGUGUAACUCUACCCUUUGAUGUAAAAAAAAAUCAAGUUCUCUUUAUGCUGUGAUCUGAAUGUUUGUGCCCCCCUAAAACUCAUAUAUUGAAACCCUGAGUCCAAAAGAUGAUGGUAUGAGGAGGUGAGGGCUUUGGAAGGUGCUUGAGUCAUGAGGGUGAAGCCCUCAGAAAUGGGAUUAGCACUUUAUCAAAGAAGCUCCAGAGAGAUCCCUACUCCCUUUUGCCACUGGAGGAUAUGACAAGUCUGUGAUCUGGAAAUGGGUGCUCACCCAGUCAUGCUGGAACCCUAAUUUUGAAUUUCCCGCCUCCAGAACCAUGAGCAACAAAUUUCUGCUGUUUAUAAGCCAUUCAUUCUGUGAUAUUUUGUUGUCACAGCCUUAAUGGGCUAAGGCAGCUUGUUAACUUGUUUGUUUUCAAUCUGAACAGAUAAUACAUUCACAUGAAUACAAGUUCAAAAUGUACCAAACAUUAUCCAGGGAACUCUCUUCCAUGUUCCCCUACUCCCUUCCCAGCCCGCUGCCCUCCACUGCAGUCCUCUGAAUUGUCAUUUCCAAUGACUGACUCUUGGCCCACAUGUUGCUGCUUGAACCUCAGGGCCAUUCAGUGGGCCAGUCACACCUCCUGUCUCUAGGGCACCACCCUCCUCUGUGCUCCCGGGCACUCCCCAAUCCUCCCCAGCCUCCCUUGCUAGGUUCUUCUUUCAUCACUAAUGUUAGUAUUGAAGAAGACCGGGGCUCACUCCUUGACCUUAUUCUCUUUUCUAUCUACACUAUCUCAUCUCUUACUGCUGGUUAAUCUCAUCAAGUCCAUAGAUUUAGAUGCCGUCUAUAUAUUCACAAUAGUCAAGUUGGUAUUUCCUGCCUAAAUUCUUCAUCCAAACUUGAGACUUCACCUGCUUGACACUUCCACUUGGAUAUCUAGUAGACAUCUCAAAACGAACAGGUCGAGGCGUUUCCUUUAUAGCUCAGUGGUAACAAACCUGACCAGGAUCCAUGCAGACAGGGUUUCCAUGAUCUCUGGCCUCGUUCAGUGGGUUAAGGAUCCAGCAUUGCCAUGAGCUGUGGUGAAGGUCCCAGACGCAGCUCAGAUCUGGUGUGGCUGUGGCUGUGGUGUAGGCUGGCAGCUACAGCUCCGAUUAGACCCCUAGCCUGGGAACUUCCAUAUACCACAAGUGCAACCCUAAAAAAACAAAAUAAAAUAAACAAACAAAAAAACCUAACAGGUCAAAAACAAGACUGUCGAUUUUCUCUCUCACAAAUCUGAUCUAAUAUUCUUCUCUAUUUUAGGGGAAGGAAAUUGUAUCCUUCCUGAUUCCCUGGCUUUAAGACCCACAUGCUGCUGAAAUCUUGGAACUCUUCACCUUUGACAUUUUUGGCAGUCUGUUUGGCCUAGAAUGAUAUCAUUUUAUUUUAACUUUAUUUUUCUGACUACUUAUGAUUUUGAGCCCAUGUAUGAGCUGUCUUUGGUUCUCAUAUGUGUAUUGCCUAAUCAUUUCCUUAGCCCAUUUAUUUGUCUCUUGGGGUAUUCCUAUUUUUGUCCUGUACCAUUUUGUGUUAUGAUGUAGAGCUCAGCGCCUGAUCUCAGGGUGCACUAUUUUAAGUUUCUAAAGGACAAGAUUGUGGAAUUUACUAUGAAAACCAACAUUAAUUAUUUGGGGGAACAGAAAGGCAUCUUCAUUGUUUCCACUUACAUUAAAUCUUUAGUGGCCCAACUUCCCAAUUAUCCAAGACCAUCUGAGCCGUGUGCCAAAGGAGGUGCCUAUUUCCCACUUCUUAGCAUUUUUCUUAGAAUGUGAGUCAAGCAGACGGCUUUCAGACGUCCUGCUGACUGGGAUUCUGGCUCGUUCUCAUGUCCCAUUUCCUGCUCUUCUCCUGUUCUGAUUUCUAAGCAGGUGUCAACCCCAAAUCAGAAUAAUUAUAUGGAUCACAGAACUAAUGUCCUCAAUUCUGCUUUGUGACACUUGAAAUGGAAUAUUCUCGACUAAUAGUUUGAUGAGAAAAACAUCUGUUGGGUUUACAUUCCUACUGAUGCUGAAUGACUUGAAAACUUCUCUUGCAGCUUGUUGUCUGGAUUCUUAGGGGAUUAUCUUGGGAAUCACCUUCUAGCAUAGAUCCUUGCGCUCCACCUGGUAUAUGCUCAGAGGCAGUGUUUGCUGUCUCUCAACACAUAGUAUCUAAAUGCUGCCAAACCUCAGGACUCAAGAAAACAUCUGGAGGGCUUGGUGGGUUCUUAAGCAGUCAAUCAGAUGAGUUAAGGUAUUACAUUGAGAUGGCCCCAGUGAUUGAGUGCUGACUUAUUCGCAGGUGCAGGGGUGGAGUGGUGUAGAAAAACUAAAAUUAAGAAGAAGCUUGAUGGAGGAUAGUGUGAGAAAAAGAAUGGGUACAUGUAUGUGUGUGACUGGGUCACUUUGCUGUAUAGUAGAAAUUGACAGAACACUGUUAACUAACUAUAAUGGAAAAAAUAAAAA
This 4218-nucleotide long non-coding RNA is filed under the name Sus scrofa (pig). RNAcentral's name for it is "lncRNA (ENSSSCG00065074312.1)". The record is from RNAcentral. Lineage: Eukaryota; Metazoa; Chordata; Mammalia; Artiodactyla; Suidae.